RNAcentral lists this ribosomal RNA (467 nucleotides) under uncultured bacterium. RNAcentral's name for it is "partial 16S ribosomal RNA". It matches the Rfam family "Bacterial small subunit ribosomal RNA", at positions 355 to 839 of the family's 1533-position model. The record is from RNAcentral.
UGGGGAAUAUUGGACAAUGGGGGCAACCCUGAUCCAGCAAUGCCGCGUGUGUGAAGAAGGUCUUCGGAUUGUAAAGCACUUUCGACGGGGACGAUGAUGACGGUACCCGUAGAAGAAGCCCCGGCUAACUUCGUGCCAGCAGCCGCGGUAAUACGAAGGGGGCUAGCGUUGCUCGGAAUGACUGGGCGUAAAGGGCGUGUAGGCGGUUUACACAGUCAGAUGUGAAAUCCCCGGGCUUAACCUGGGAGCUGCAUUUGAUACGUGUAGACUAGAGUGUGAGAGAGGGUUGUGGAAUUCCCAGUGUAGAGGUGAAAUUCGUAGAUAUUGGGAAGAACACCGGUGGCGAAGGCGGCAACCUGGCUCAUGACUGACGCUGAGGCGCGAAAGCGUGGGGAGCAAACAGGAUUAGAUACCCUGGUAGUCCACGCUGUAAACGAUGUGUGCUAGAUGUUGGGUAACUUUGUUAU